Molecule: ribosomal RNA, 460 nt
Filed under: uncultured bacterium
Lineage: Bacteria
Description: partial 16S ribosomal RNA
Rfam family: Bacterial small subunit ribosomal RNA
Source: RNAcentral
CCUACGGGUGGCAGCAGUGAGGAAUAUUGGUCAAUGGGCGGAAGACUGAACCAGCCAAGCCGCGUGCAGGAUGAAGGUACUGCGGAUUGUAAACCGCUUUUAUAAGGGAACAAAGCGCCUUACGUGUACGGCUUUGCGUGUACCGUAUGAAUAAGCACCGGCUAACUCCGUGCCAGCAGCCGCGGUAAUACGGAGGGUCCGGGCGUUAUCCGGAUUUAUUGGGUUUAAAGGGUGCGGAGGCCGGAUGUCAAGCCGGCGGUGAAAGGCCCGGGCUCAACCCGGGCCUGGCCGUGCAAACUGGCGGGCUUGAGUCCGCGGAAAGCAGGCGGAAUGCGUCGUGUAGCGGUGAAAUGCUUAGAUAUGGCGAAGAACCCCGAUUGCGAAGGCAGCAUGCUGCAGCGGAACUGACGCUGAUGCUCGAAAGCGUGGGUAUCGAACAGGAUUAGAUACCCUGGUAGUC